AUUUAUUUUUUAAAAUAUAUAACAACAAUGUCUCCUAUUAAAAUUGUUUCACCAUUUUUAUUAAUUGAAUAAUUUGUGCCCAUCUCAUUGCAUAAACUUGUAAGAUCAAUAAAACUGUUUGUGUCCAUUUUAGUAGUACAAUACAGUGUCUCGUUUUUCUAAGCAACUUUAAUUAUUGAAACCCAUUGUGCAGGGAUAUACACUAGUCCACUUUUUAAUGCACGUUUUUUUUGAUUUUCUAUUCGACCAUGCAUGGAGUAAACAGUUAUUUGGGUAUGUCUAGUAGUUAAAAACGAUUGUGUUAUUUCUGAAAUGGUAUAAAUUUACAUAACAAUAUACAUAUAAAGAGUAUACAUUUAUCU
Molecule: non-coding RNA, 362 nt
Organism: Cinara cedri
Lineage: Eukaryota; Metazoa; Arthropoda; Insecta; Hemiptera; Aphididae
Source: the annotation of a GenBank genome assembly